RNAcentral lists this ribosomal RNA (252 nucleotides) under uncultured bacterium. Its description in RNAcentral is "partial 16S ribosomal RNA". It matches the Rfam family "Bacterial small subunit ribosomal RNA", at positions 524 to 776 of the family's 1533-position model. The record is from RNAcentral.
UACGUAGGGGGCGAGCGUUGUCCGGAAUUAUUGGGCGUAAAGGGUGCGUAGGCGGCCUUUUAAGUCAGGUGUGAAAGGUCACGGCUCAACCGUGGUAAGCACUUGAAACUGGAAGGCUUGAGUUAAGGAGAGGAAAGUGGAAUUCCUAGUGUAGCGGUGAAAUGCGUAGAUAUUAGGAGGAAUACCAGUGGCGAAGGCGACUUUCUGGACUUAAACUGACGCUGAGGCACGAAAGCGUGGGGAGCAAACAGG